Molecule: ribosomal RNA, 427 nt
Filed under: uncultured bacterium
Lineage: Bacteria
Description: partial 16S ribosomal RNA
Rfam family: Bacterial small subunit ribosomal RNA
Source: RNAcentral
UGGGGAAUAUUGCACAAUGGGCGCAAGCCUGAUGCAGCCAUGCCGCGUGUGUGAAGAAGGUCUUCGGAUUGUAAAGCACUUUAAGUUGGGAGGAAGGGCAUUAACCUAAUACGUUAGCGUUUUGACGUUACCGACAGAAUAAGCACCGGCUAACUCUGUGCCAGCAGCCGCGGUAAUACAGAGGGUGCAAGCGUUAAUCGGAAUUACUGGGCGUAAAGCGCGCGUAGGUGGUUUGUUAAGUUGGAUGUGAAAUCCCCGGGCUCAACCUGGGAACUGCAUUCAAAACUGACUGACUAGAGUAUGGUAGAGGGUGGUGGAAUUUCCUGUGUAGCGGUGAAAUGCGUAGAUAUAGGAAGGAACACCAGUGGCGAAGGCGACCACCUGGACUAAUACUGACACUGAGGUGCGAAAGCGUGGGGAGCAAACA